This 445-nucleotide ribosomal RNA is filed under the name uncultured bacterium. RNAcentral describes it as "bacterial SSU rRNA". It matches the Rfam family "Bacterial small subunit ribosomal RNA", at positions 330 to 792 of the family's 1533-position model. The record is from RNAcentral.
CCCAGACUCCUACGGGAGGCAGCAGUGGGGAAUAUUGGACAAUGGGGGGAACCCUGAUCCAGCGACGCCGCGUGAGUGAAGAAGUAUUUCGGUAUGUAAAGCUCUCUCAGCAGGGAAGAAAGUGACGGUACCUGAGUAAGAAGCACCGGCUAACUCCGUGCCAGCAGCCGCGGUAAUAUGGAGGGUGCGAGCGUUAAUCGGAAUUACUGGGCGUAAAGCGCUCGUAGGCGGUAUGUCAAGUCAAGGGUGAAAUCCCCGCGCUCAACGUGGGAACUGCCUUUGAAACUGGCAAACUGGAGUGUGUGAGAGGAUAGUGGAAUUCCAGGUGUAGGAGUGAAAUCCGUAGAUAUCUGGAGGAACAUCAGUGGCGAAGGCGACUAUCUGGCACAUAACUGACGCUGAGGAGCGAAAGCGUGGGUAGCAAACAGGAUUAGAUACCCGGGUA